GAUGAACGCUGGCGGUAUGCCUAACACAUGCAAGUCGUACGAGAGUUUUUAACUCUAGUGGCGGACGGGUGAGUAACACGUGAGAAUUUGCCUUUAGGAGGGGAUAACAAUUGGAACGAAUGCUAAUACCCCAUAUGCUUUUGAGUGAAACGGAUUUAUCCGCCUAGAGAGAAGCUCGCGGCUGAUUAGCUUGUUGGUAAGGUAAGAGCUUACCAAGGCGACGAUCAGUAUCUGGUUUGAGAGGACGAUCAGACACACUGGAACUGAGACACGGUCCAGACUCCUACGGGAGGCAGCAGUGGGGAAUUUUCCGCAAUGGGCGAAAGCCUGACGGAGCAAUACCGCGUGAGGAAGAAUGCCUAUGGGUUGUAAACCUCUUUUUCUAGGGAGGAAUAAAAAUAGACGUGGUAACCUGAAGAAUAAGCAUCGGCUAACUCCGUGCCAGCAG
This 448-nucleotide ribosomal RNA is filed under the name uncultured bacterium. RNAcentral's name for it is "bacterial SSU rRNA". It matches the Rfam family "Bacterial small subunit ribosomal RNA", at positions 28 to 514 of the family's 1533-position model. The record is from RNAcentral.